RNAcentral lists this ribosomal RNA (253 nucleotides) under uncultured bacterium. RNAcentral describes it as "partial 16S ribosomal RNA". It matches the Rfam family "Bacterial small subunit ribosomal RNA", at positions 524 to 776 of the family's 1533-position model. The record is from RNAcentral.
UACGUAGGGUGCGAGCGUUAAUCGGAAUUACUGGGCGUAAAGCGUGCGCAGGCGGUCCGCUAAGUCUGAUGUGAAAGCCCCGGGCUCAACCUGGGAACUGCAUUGGAAACUAUCGGGCUCGAGUGUGGCAGAGGGGGGUGGAAUUCCACGUGUAGCAGUGAAAUGCGUAGAGAUGUGGAGGAACACCGAUGGCGAAGGCAGCCCCCUGGGAUAACACUGACGCUCAGGCACGAAAGCGUGGGGAGCAAACAGG